AGUGAACGCUGGCGGUAUGCCUAACACAUGCAAGUCGAACGGCCGCACAGUAAGAGCUUGCUCUUACGGGUGGCGACUGUCGGACGGGUGAGUCAUACAUCGUAAUCUUCUUUUUCUUGGGUGAUUUCGUAGGGCCACUUACGCUACCACCUCAUACGUCCUACGGGUUAUAUCAUUGGUUCUUCGCACCUUUCCCGUUUCUUUGAGCCGAUGUCGGAUUAGCUAGUUGGCUGGGUAAAGGCCCACCAAGGCGACGAUCCGUAGCUUGUCUGAGAGUAUGAUCAGCAACACGGGAAAUGAGACACGGUCAAGAAUACUACGGGAGGCAGCAGUGGGGAAUAUUGGACAAUGGGCGAAAGCAUGAUGGAGCAAUACCGCGUGGGAGAAGAAGGACUUCGGGUUGUAAAGCCCUGUUGUUGGGAAAGAAAAGAAGCAGGAGAAAACAACGAUGUUAUGACGGUACCCAAAGAAUAAGCACCGGCUAACUACGUG
This 492-nucleotide ribosomal RNA is filed under the name uncultured bacterium. RNAcentral describes it as "partial 16S ribosomal RNA". It matches the Rfam family "Bacterial small subunit ribosomal RNA", at positions 29 to 507 of the family's 1533-position model. The record is from RNAcentral.